UAGGGUUUUAGGAGCGCGAAUGGGCAUCCAGGUGCGAUUGCUGCUGCUGCUGCUCUACAUUCUGGCGCUCCACUCCCUCGCGAUCUUCCUCUUCACGUCGGGAUUCCUCCUCACGCGCACGGAGCUGCCGAAUGUGAGCGAAUGCGCGGAUGCCGCCGCCGCCCCUUGCGGUCGCGGCAGCGGAUCGAAUGCCAGUUGCUGGACGGAUUCCGGUGGAGUGAAGCGCGCGAUCGUUGUCAUAAUCGAUGCGUUGAGAUUUGAUUUCCUUGCAAGGAGUGAAUUCUUCUCCGAAUCAAAGCCAUGGAUGGAUAGGCUUACAGUGCUACAAGAUCUAGCAGAGAACGAAGCAAACGCUAGAAUUUUUAAGUACGUUGCUGAUCCACCCACGACAACACUGCAGCGGCUCAAAGGGCUAACGACGGGAGGAUUGCCAACAUUUAUUGAUGUUGGCCACAGUUUUGGUGCUCCUGCAAUAGUCGAAGAUAAUUUAAUUCUUCAGCUUGCACGAAAUGGCAAGCGCGUUGUGAUGAUGGGAGACGAUACGUGGUUGCAGCUAUUUCCAAAUCAUUUUUCCGAAGCUUAUCCAUUUCCAUCAUUCAACGUCAAAGAUUUGCAUACAGUGGACAAUGGUGUUAUAAGCAACAUCUUUCCCAAGCUGCAUCAAAACAACUGGGACUUACUUAUUGCCCACUUUCUUGGCGUGGAUCAUGUUGGACAUAUAUUCGGGGUAGAAUCUCCUCUCAUGGUUGAAAAGCUGACGCAGUAUAACAAUGUCUUGGAGGAAAUCAUUUCUAUCCUUCAAAAGGAGUCAGGUCCUGGUGGUCUCCACGAAAAUACUAUGCUGAUUGUUAUGGGUGAUCAUGGUCAAACUCUUAAUGGAGAUCAUGGUGGUGGAACAGCUGAAGAGGUUGAUACUGGACUUUUUGCUAUGGUCCUGGGAGGCCGAAAAGGCAAGGAUAUUCAUUGUUCUUCUUGUGGAUUGUGCAUGGACGCCAGUAGCCCGGGUAUAAGCACGCUUCCACAGCUAGAUUUUGCUCCUACAUUAUCUACAAUUUUAGGAGUUCCCAUUCCUUUUGGAAGUGUUGGACGAGUAAAUUUGGAAUUGCUUUCAUUGGCUUGGUCUAACCAUGAAUCCUCAAAUACACCAGAACACUACCAGAAUGUUCUUUGUAUAAAUAGCUGGCAGGUCAUGAGAUAUCUCGAGCAUUAUGCAGCGCAUUCGCUUAAUGGGAUUCCAGCUCCCGAUUUAAUGCGCUUGAAAGCAUAUUACGAACCUUUGUCUCGAGACGCAACUGGAAUUGCCACCGGUCUCAAGGACCAAAUAACUUCAUACAACACUUUUCUUACGGAAGCUGCCGAUUUAGCCCGAUCUCAGUGGACCCAAUUUGGAGAUGCUAAGAUGGCUGCAGGCCUGACCCUUCUAGUAUUAUCUGUUCCGGUUCAUGCACUGGCGUUAUUAAGAGUGUCGCGUUUCCGAGGGACUCACCAUUCUUAUGAGCUGCAACUAAUCUUUCCUGGAAGACUUAUUGCCUCCGCAUGCACAUUGGGAGGUCUUAUUUCUGUGGCUACAGCUGUUACACUAGGUAAAGGCUUCAGCUGGUAUGUUAUUCUUGGAGCCGUGGGCUUUGCUGCAGUAUUUGCGUAUCUUCUUUCUGGAUUUUUUCAAAAGACAUUAAGUGCGAAGACCAAAAGCUCUGAAAAACGCUUCUGGAGCUAUGCCUGUGAUUCGAAGGCCAUAGCAGGAGUUAUGUUUGUAAUGCUGCACGCUUUGAGUCUCCUCUCAAACAGUUUCAUCAUGGCUGAAGGACAUGUUGCAAGUUACCUUCUUGCAACUAUUGGAUUGAUAUACUUUCGAUUUGCUCUGCAGUUCCAAUCUAAAAUCUUUCAGGCCGUCUUGUUUCUUGUUGUCAAUCGUGUCCUUUCUGGCAUGGGUUUAACGAGCAUUGUCAAAGACACGGUAGAAUCUGGCAACGAAGUCUCUUACGCUAACUGGCUUGAUGCAACUAUAUAUUGCGUUCCCUUGCUAAUAUUUUCUUGGCUUGCCAUCCGGCACGUAUCCAGGAACUUGUAUCGGCUAAACGCUUACCUCGUGGCAACACUUGCUCUACCUGUAAUGUACGCAGCCAUCGCAGUUCAUUGGCUUAUCUUGGAUUUGAGCGAAGUGAAGACUAUCACGAUACCUGGCGAUAUAAGAGAAUUUGCCCGUUUACAACUACCUCGUGUGGUAUUUCUGGGCACUUUAUUAGCCACGGGUCUCGUCUACUUGGCUGGGAAACUUUCCGCUGGUAAAUCACAUCUUAGAGAUGCUGUGAUUGCGUUGUUCGGAGCUUGGAGUGCCUCUAUUCUCCUGCUUCUUGGACGCACAUCUCCGGCUCUCGGUUUUCUUGCAAUGCUCGAAGUGUGGUGUAUAUUGGAGCUUCAAAGCUUGGAGAAACGAAAGCUUAUUUCUUCACACUGGAAUUUUCUAGCACUUUUGCUAUUUUUUUGCACUAACCACAGAUGUACAUUUGACGGUCUUCGUUACCCUGCGGCGUUCAUCGGAUUUGACGAGUUUAACCUCUAUCGACAAGGAGCACUUCUUAUUAUUGACACUUAUGGCGCAUCGCAUGUUUUGCCCAUAAUCGGCCUGCCUUCUCUUGUUGUCGCUGAAUCUGAAAAGGAUAGCGAGCAAAAGAAGGCAGACGGACGUCGCUCAACACAUUUUGCUCUAGACAUUGCUUUGGCUUACCUUUCCUUCGGGCUCAUCCGAAGCGUCACCACUACUUUCUCGACGAUUUGUGUAGCAAUACAAAGACGACACUUGAUGGUUUGGGGAUUAUUUGCUCCAAAAUACGUUUUUGAUGCGAUUGGUCUUUUGAUAACCGAUUUAUUAUUUGUGGCCGCAUCUGGCCUGUAUUUUUCAUUCACGUAACUUCAUGGGUUCCAGAGACUUUGAGCUAGUUUUGUUCGAAUUGCUGCACAGAAAUUCAUCCCUUCUGUGUUAGACUCAAAGUGUGAGACUACGAGAGGAUCUUCGACUACAACAGAAGCCUCGCGAAAGUGAGGUGCACACAAGAGCUUAGCCAGCCAAACCAUACCAUCCUCGUCCACAAGCCGCCGGCGAAAGCUAGCAACCGGCUCAACUUGAAGAACCACACCGAGUCGCGCGUCACCAUCGCGCAAAACCCAAAGUUCCUCGGCUCAUCAUCCGCAAAGACCUCUGGCAAACAGCACGAGUAUUCCGGAGGAUCCAUCUGUUCUGUAAAGACGGAUGCUAAACUGCUGCAGCUGCAACCGCCAGGCCGCCAGCUUCGCAGACACUACAGCACACCCACUUACAUCGUUGGGGAGAGGACGAUCUAUUAAGUUGCGAACAUCUGCUGGUGUGUCCAUUGCGCUAACAAGAUCAUCUAAGGUGAAAAUGCUCAAGGCCUUGAAUUAUCCAAAAACUAAUGACGUAAUGUAUAAACUAUAUACAUUAAUUAUACAUUAAUAUAUACAUUAGUGUAUAAACUAUAAUGUAAAGUUGUUAAAAUUGACGGGAA
Selaginella moellendorffii is the source of this 3524-nucleotide RNA transcript. It is a transcript of the gene named GPI ethanolamine phosphate transferase 3, with no coding region annotated. The transcript is spliced from 21 exons. NCBI's taxonomy places the organism in Eukaryota, Viridiplantae, Streptophyta, Lycopodiopsida, Selaginellales, Selaginellaceae. The record is from RefSeq and is a predicted model, not a curated record.